AAGGGAACUUCGAAGUUCAGUCAACAACUUCAUCGUCUCUCGCUCAUAGACCAACUGGACCACUCUGUUCUUCUCACCAAGGGCUGGUCAUGAUGUCUAAUACAACUUGUCUCCCUGCAAACUCUACCACAGACUGCCUAGACCCAGCUUCUUUUAGUUCUUCUGUGGGAUAUGCUGUGGGUCUUCCUCUGUUCUUCAUAGUUCUGGUAGUAGUGAUUGCGCUGAUCUAUACCAAGCGCAGUAAAUUGGGGAAUAUGUGGCAGUUAGAUCAACUCAAGAGCACAGAGGUCAACACACGUCAGCUUGAGGGUUCCCAAUACACGGCCAUGGUCAGACCACCACCCACUGAUCAUAGCCCUAUCUACGAGAACUUCACUGACUCCAACAAGACAACCAUCAACAUGAACAGGUCACCCGUUGAACCUGAGGACAUAUAUCUGGAGUGUGAUUUACCCGAUGAUGCAAUUUACAGCAACAACAUGUCCUGUAGCCUGGCCAUACUGCCUCCUGACACUGAAGAGGAAGAUAUUUAUAUAAUGCCAGACGUUCUAUAGUUACAGCCAUAAAGAUGACCCUAUUAAAAUCCAAACGGAGUCAUAUUUUUGUAGGACAGGAAGAGGAAUCAAAGGAGCCAAUAUGUUCUGGUGGCUUUUAUGUUUUAUCCACCUCUGAAGGAAACUUGGCCAUAUUGACAAAAACAUUUGUCUUAAUUUGAAUUUUUUGCUUUGUUUGACAGACUUAAAAGUAUGUUAUUAUGUUAUUGUACAUAUUUUAGUAAGUGCCUGCUAGGUUCAGUACAGUGCAACAACUUUUUGGGGCAAAUUUAAAUAUAAGUAGCAGUUUAGCCCAAAAUGUAAAACAUUUUUACAGUGAACUUUUUCACUCCGUAGUUAGGGAGAAGUCAAAAUUGACCCAAUUGUUACCCGGAGGGGUGUGUUGCGUAAAAGAUUGGCUGUGCUGUGUACACUGCCACUUCAGGAGGCGAGUCAAAGGCUUCUUCCCCCCCAUUAUGGGAUAUUGUGUGUAGGCCAAUGACAAAAAGUCUUCAUCCAUUUUAAAUU
Molecule: long non-coding RNA, 1061 nt
Organism: Salvelinus sp. IW2-2015
Lineage: Eukaryota; Metazoa; Chordata; Actinopteri; Salmoniformes; Salmonidae
Source: RefSeq, a predicted model, not a curated record